AUUGAACGCUGGCGGCAGGCCUAACACAUGCAAGUCGAACGAGUGGCGGACGGGUGAGUAAUGUCUGGGAAACUGCCUGAUGGAGGGGGAUAACUACUGGAAACGGUAGCUAAUACCGCAUACCAUCGGAUGUGCCCAGAUGGGGUACGCUAGUAGGUGGGGUAAAGGCUCACCUAGGCGACGAUCCCUAGCUGGGGUGAGAGGAUGACCAGACACACUGGAAUGGAGACACGGUCCAGACUCCUACGGGAGGCAGCAGUGGGGAGUAUGGCACAAUGGGCGCAAGACUGAUGCAGCCAUGCCGCGUGGAUGAAGAAGGCUUUCGGGUUGUAAAGUACUUUCAGCGGGGAGGCGUUACCCGCAGAAGAAGCACCGGCUAACUCCGAGCCAGCAGCCGCGGUAAUUC
RNAcentral lists this ribosomal RNA (406 nucleotides) under uncultured bacterium. RNAcentral describes it as "partial 16S ribosomal RNA". It matches the Rfam family "Bacterial small subunit ribosomal RNA", at positions 29 to 526 of the family's 1533-position model. The record is from RNAcentral.